RNAcentral lists this non-coding RNA (19 nucleotides) under Arabidopsis thaliana (thale cress). The record is from RNAcentral. Lineage: Eukaryota; Viridiplantae; Streptophyta; Magnoliopsida; Brassicales; Brassicaceae.
AGGGACUUCACUCUUCUGU